Molecule: long non-coding RNA, 263 nt
Organism: Myotis brandtii (Brandt's bat)
Lineage: Eukaryota; Metazoa; Chordata; Mammalia; Chiroptera; Vespertilionidae
Exons: 3
Source: RefSeq, a predicted model, not a curated record
UUCUGCUCUUCGGUGAACGCGUGCACGAUGUCCCAGAACUCCCUGCGAGGAGAAAGGACGCCGCUGACUGCACUGGCUGCCUCAGCGCCCAGACCUGUAGCCUGGAGAACAGUCCCAGUGCUCGGACGUGGAGCCUGCAGCACCUCCCUCGGAAGGAAGGACCGCACGCCCCAUGCAGGUCGUACAUCAUGGGGUUACCGAACAGAUCCGUCUGCGAUAUCUGGAAAGUGAUCAUCAUGUCGUCCUCCACGCUCCCCUCGUAC